GCUUGUCUAGCUUAGUUGGUAGAGCGCAAUGCUUUUAACCUUGUGGUGUUGGUUCAAGCCCACAGUUUGCG
This 71-nucleotide transfer RNA is filed under the name Zea mays. It matches the Rfam family "tRNA". From Rfam's summary of the family: Transfer RNA (tRNA) molecules are approximately 80 nucleotides in length. Their secondary structure includes four short double-helical elements and three loops (D, anti-codon, and T loops). Lineage: Eukaryota; Viridiplantae; Streptophyta; Magnoliopsida; Poales; Poaceae. The record is from Rfam by way of RNAcentral.